RNAcentral lists this ribosomal RNA (237 nucleotides) under uncultured bacterium. Its description in RNAcentral is "partial 16S ribosomal RNA". It matches the Rfam family "Bacterial small subunit ribosomal RNA", at positions 100 to 334 of the family's 1533-position model. The record is from RNAcentral.
CCGGCACGGGUGAGUAACACGUAUCCAACUUGCCGUCUACUCUUGGACAGCCUUCUGAAAGGAAGAUUAAUACAAGAUGGCAUCAUGAGUCCGCAUGUUCACAUGAUUAAAGGUAUUCCGGUAGACGAUGGGGAUGCGUUCCAUUAGAUAGUAGGCGGGGUAACGGCCCACCUAGUCUUCGAUGGAUAGGGGUUCUGAGAGGAAGGUCCCCCACAUUGGAACUGAGACACGGUCCAA